RNAcentral lists this ribosomal RNA (330 nucleotides) under uncultured eukaryote. RNAcentral describes it as "partial 18S ribosomal RNA". It matches the Rfam family "Eukaryotic small subunit ribosomal RNA", at positions 1470 to 1796 of the family's 1831-position model. The record is from RNAcentral.
CCCUUAGAUGUUCUGGGCCGCACGCGCGCUACACUGAUGCAUUCAACGAGUAAUCUUUGACCUUGGUCGACAGAUCUGGGUAAUCUUUUGAAAUUGCAUCGUGAUGGGGCUUGCGGGUUGCAAUUACCCGCACCAACGAGGAAUUCCUAGUAAACGCAAGUCAUCAACUUGCAUUGAUUACGUCCCUGCCCUUUGUACACACCGCCCGUCGCUCCUACCGAUUGAGUGGUCCGGUGAGGCUUUGGGAUCUGAGCGGAAAGAGCGUUUCGCUGUUUCUGCUCGGAAAACUCAGUCGAACCUUAUCAUUUAGAGGAAGGAGAAGUCGUAACA